CCAGGUCAGCAAAUACAGGGCGGCCGAGCUGGCUCUAGGAUUACACUCCCCACAGCUAAGAGCCUCUUAGCCAGGCCCAGUCCUGGCUCCCAGAGCCCCAGGAGGCCAGUUGCCCUCGCUCACGGCUGGCCUGGCAGGGGGGGGACGUGGUUUGUUCCACGGCCAGCGCCGCCCUGGGGAGCAGGUGCCAGGGAGAACGGGGGUGUUGCACCCCGAGAGGUCACAUCAGAAGAGCCUGAGGGGAGGAACCGUGGGACUCUCCAGACAAGCAGCCCCCUCAAGUCCCCCAGCCCACAAUCCCGUGCUGGCUCGGUGGCUGCCCAUGACCAAAGCCCCCAGGCAGGGGUGACAGUCACCCCGGAGGCGGUGGAGAAAGCAGCAGCAGANGACAGCCACCCCGGAGGCGGUGGAGAAAGCAGCAGCAGCAGCGCCGGGGAAACAUGCCCAGGCUGUGAGGAGGUAGCGCUCCAGGCUGCCUGCCGUCAUUGUGUGGGGUGGGCCAAGACCCAGCCUGGGCCCGUUUUCCAGCCCCCCCGACACCUCAGCCACUCCAUGGGGGCCGGUGCACGGCUUGUGUGGGAAUCCUUCGGUGUGGGCUGGAGGGCCACCCAGCAUGUCCCUUUUCUAUCCCCGAUGCCCAGUAAAUGCAGCAGGGCCUGUCGCCGCAGGGGAGCCCGGGAGGGUCCCUGCUGUCCCCAAGCCCUGCUAACGCUUGGCCUGACGUGUUAUAGCUGUUCCCCUCCCCCUGGGCCGAGAGCCGUGUCUGGUGUUCGCUCAUUUCUGGCCCUGGGUCUGAGCCACUCGCUGCCGGGGACGAGAGCCACCGGCCCAGGGGCCACUUGGGGUGGGGGUAGGGGUGGGGAGCCUCUUUCAUUUGUUUUUAUGUUUGUGUUUUAUCUGACAAUAAAAAAGAGGAAAGAAAAUGGAACUACCCCAGUUGUGGGCCUGGUGUGGCGCUGGGAGCAUCCCAGGGCCCCUGUCGAAGGUGCUGGCUGCCCUUUGGAGCGUGGCUUAGCCACUCACUGCAUAGGCUGGUGGGGGGCAGAAGGGUGCCCCCAAAUUCCAGCACCACACCUGCACUGUGCAUGA
Molecule: long non-coding RNA, 1089 nt
Filed under: Gopherus agassizii (Agassiz's desert tortoise)
Lineage: Eukaryota; Metazoa; Chordata; Testudines; Testudinidae
Description: lncRNA (ENSGAGG00000008746.1)
Source: RNAcentral